CUAAAUGCAGUCGAACGAUGAACCUCACUUGUGGGGGGAUUAGUGGCGAACGGGUGAGUAACACGUGAGUAACCUGCCCUUGACUCUGGGAUAAGCCUGGGAAACUGGGUCUAAUACCGGAUAUGACNGACUAUCGCAUGGUGGUUGGUGGAAAGCUUUUGUGGUUUUGGAUGGACUCGCGGCCUAUCAGCUUGUUGGUGGGGUAAUGGCCUACCAAGGCGACGACGGGUAGCCGGCCUGAGAGGGUGACCGGCCACACUGGGACUGAGACACGGCCCAGACUCCUACGGGAGGCAGCAGUGGGGAAUAUUGCACAAUGGGCGGAAGCCUGAUGCAGCGACGCCGCGUGAGGGAUGACGGCCUUCGGGUUGUAAACCUCUUUCAGUAGGGAAGAAGCGUAAGUGACGGUACCUGCAGAAGAAGCGCCGGCUAACUACGUGCCAGCAGCCGCGGUAAUACGUAGGGCGCAAGCGUUAUCCGGAAUUAUUGGGCGUAAAGAGCUCGUAGGCGGUUUGUCGCGUCUGCCGUGAAAGUCCGGGGCUCAACUCCGGAUCUGCGGUGGGUACCGGGCAGACCUANGAUGUGAUGUAGGGGAGAUCUGGAAUUCCCUGGUGUAGCGGUGAAAUGCGCAGAUAUCAGGAGGAACACCGAUGGCGAAGGCAGGUCUCUGGGCAUUAACUGACGCUGAGGAGCGAAAGCAUGGGGAGCGAACAGGAUUAGAUACCCUGGUAGUCCAUGCCGUAAACGUUGGGCACUAGGUGUGGGGGACAUUCCACGUUUU
RNAcentral lists this ribosomal RNA (781 nucleotides) under bacterium EAB-4IL4.02. RNAcentral describes it as "bacterial SSU rRNA". It matches the Rfam family "Bacterial small subunit ribosomal RNA", at positions 51 to 840 of the family's 1533-position model. The record is from RNAcentral.